This 3269-nucleotide long non-coding RNA is filed under the name Triticum aestivum (bread wheat). Its description in RNAcentral is "long non-coding RNA (TAES_LNC027019)". The record is from RNAcentral. Lineage: Eukaryota; Viridiplantae; Streptophyta; Magnoliopsida; Poales; Poaceae.
AAAAAAUUAUGUCAAGCAAUGAUCAAUGAUUUUUUUACAUAAUAGGAAUUAAUAAACAAUGAAUUAAACCUGCUCGAAUGCUAAGAUGUUUCUAACACCAUCAGGUUAGAAAAGGAUAAUGUAAUCAUUUUUAAACACAUCAUGAUGGCUCCAUGUCCAGGUAAAUCUUUGUGGCAGCAACAAUAUAGUAGAGGCAACAGAAAAUAAAAGAAAAAGGUUGUUCCUCCUUUGAUGUUCGUCAUGGUUCCGAGGAACAUUUCCAUCCCAAGAAAGACAUCACAAACGAACGUUAGUUAGCAAUGGAACAUAAAUGUAUUGAAUACAGGAUGAGGCUUAGGAUGAUCAAUUGACUGGAAAAAAAUUCAAAGUCAUUGUGUCAUUCAUACAUGGAGGAAACAUUGUUCGUUUAUUUUGAAAGAUGUAUCGACAAUAAACAGAGAAUGGCUCAAGAAGUCUGAGCCGUUGCCUAAAGUGUUGUGUCAAGAAAAUGACUAACCGAUACUGCAUAUGUUGAAAGCAAGAGCCAAAAGACCGUGGUCAAAUAUUGAAUUAUAUUAUGAUCAAGUAAAUGCUACAUGUUCCACAUAGCAAAUAGGUCCAAUUAUUAAAAAAAAUAACAAAGCAUACAUAAUGUGGCGAAGAACCUGAAACAAUUACAAUUUUAAACUUCUAUACAGGUGCUUAAGAAAACCUUGGCUAAAGAUUUUGUGUCGAGGAAACACUUCAAAUUGUUCCAGAUCAACUUGAACACACUGCCCACAUACACAACAAAAAUAUGAUGCAAGGUCUGCAAUUUUAAAUUAAAAUUAUUACUGCACUACACCAUAAUACUUCUUUUAAACUAUUGUCAUUUUCUGAACUUAUCACUUCCUCAUAUGAUAAUAAUGGUAAAAUCAUAUAAUUAUAUUUCUCUACAUUAGUAAUCUAACACCAAGAAAAUAAAUAAGCAACCAUAAUCAUUUGUCCAAACCACCAUUUCUCUUAUAAUUUUGUAGAAAAGGGCGAAGUUUAGUUCAGGAACAGAAAUAAGAAAGAUAACAAGAUAUACUAAAAUAUAGGAAUUUAACUGUUUGUCAAAUCAUGAGUUAUGUGCUACUAUCAAAUCUUGAGUUCCACACGAGUGAGACACAUCAUGGCUAAGCAUUCAAAAGGAAAUAACAAGAAAAUCAUUAGAUGAACAAAAAUGGAACAAAUUACGAAUUACUAUAGUGAGUUACAAUUUCAGUACACACACAUACGCAAGACAUUUAUUCCCUGAGUAGGGAAUGCAUAUGAAUGAAAAGUACUUAAAGCUAGUUAUUUUCAGUUUAGGCUUCUCCAGAAAGACAGACUAAAAUCACUUGAUCUGUACAUGGGCAAUAGCUUCUUUCCUUUACUGUUGCAUGCUUCUUUUUAUUAACCCAGUCAAGCAAGCACACUAACAAACGAUUUUGUAUGAAUAUCCUCAAAGCAUUCUACACAAGCGGGUUCAUCUGUCAACAUGUUUUCUUUUGGUCUUGGAAGUGACUAUCUAAAAAGUUCUGUUCAAAAGGGGUUCCUACAAAAUUUAAAAAUCCGAAGCCUUUUACAAAGUAAGUUGAUAACUUCCAGCUAACCUUGAUAGGUGCAUGCAUCUUGUUAUUGGAGGACGCAAAGCCAGGUGAACCUUGGUCGAGAAUCUCAUCGGCGUUCAUGGCGGGCUCAACUUUUGCCUGGGCUGCAUGCAAUCAGAGGAAUCGAACUCGGUGGCAAGAGAAAAGAAUCACAGGAAAUAAGUGUGGCUUGAGGCACCAACCUUUCGUGCGAUGGUGUCCCCUCCGAUGUCCCCGUUGAAGGCUCGACAUUGGGUAGAAGGCGAUAGUAGUUAUUAGGUCAGACUUGUCUUGAACUUAUCCUGUCAAAAAAACAACAGUGCAGCUUUACAUCACUGAAUACACGAAAAGUACACAUGGUGCAGCUUUACAUCACUGAUUCAACAGCUCACGCAUUCAAACACAUACUACUAAGAAACAUCCUUACAUACCAUAUUGGGCAAAUGAGAAUAUUAAGUAUGAUGGCAACUAAUUAUAAUUCAACCACUAAACCUUAAAAUGAUAUUAAGUACACAUGUGUCCCUUGGGUUUCUUGCUUCGCUCAUGAAGAAUACACUGAAGCAUGAUUUAGCCACACAUGUAUCCCUUGAUAUGCAUUGCCCGGCCCAAGCGCAAGAUCCAAAAUAGUAUUGUAGCUCACAUCUCGACAUAUCAAAUUUUGCAGAAAGGAAUAGGCCAAAAGUCACGCAGUUUGAUAGAUAAGAAUUAGAGCAAGUCAUUUAUAUAGAAAACAACAUGCCCCACAGGUCUUCCAUAAUAAUUAGAUCAAGUCAUGUGUAUAGAUAGAGACCAGAGGCUUGAGUAAUUCAUUAGAGAGUAGCCAGAUAGUACAAAAUACAUAUCCCAAUGCUCCGGACAGAAGUAUAGAAAAGCACAGUGGCAAUGAUUGUGUUAUGCGAUACAUCCUUCGAUGGUAAAUGGCUCUAGGAAUUCAAAGGACGCUGGUAUCCACCUGACUUUCAGUCUGAGAGCUUCCCAGACCGAACGAAAGGUCCGGUGUCGAGCUUUUCCCGAACAAACAAUUUUGUUCUAUAGGAAUCACCCUGCAGCCCGAACACCUCACGCCAGGAAGGACCUUUCUAGGUCUCCUGGCCCAAAACAAAAACAAAAACAGAAAACUAACAAAAAAGCGCAUACGCAGUGAGUAUUUUGCAAUGUAGUGUACAGUAAUAAAUGCCAAUCUUAUACUAAAACCAAUUUGAAAACCUAUAAUACAAUACCUUUGGGCAAAUGAGAAUGUUAAGUAUGAUGGCAACUAAUUAUAAUUCAGCCACUAAACGUUAAGAUGAUAUUAACUACACAUGUAUCCCUUUGGGUUUCUUACAUGGCUUGUGAAGAAUACACUUUUCACAAAUAUAAUCCUUUUACUGGUUACUCCCAAUCUAAAGUCAAUGGUUAAAUUACUGUGUAUCGCCAUCAAGCGAGCAUACAUGGUUCAUAAUUUCAUAUAUAAAUAUCUACUCACAUAAACUAAAUCAAGCUAGCAUACACAGUUCAUCUUCAAAUAGGAUUCAUCUCCUGGGCUCUUGUUACCCAAAUCCAACCAGAGAUCCUCACAGAAGAGGAGGGGGGAGUGGUAGAAGAGCAAGAGAAGCUUACUUGCAAGUAGAAGCAAGAGUGCAGGGAGCGCAAGCGCUAGACAUGUCGUCACAAGAACCAUUACGACCCCUGAUCCAGAUCCCCUGCUUCGCCGUAUGA